This 1009-nucleotide ribosomal RNA is filed under the name Neodeightonia microspora. RNAcentral describes it as "SSU rRNA". It matches the Rfam family "Eukaryotic small subunit ribosomal RNA", at positions 88 to 1104 of the family's 1831-position model. Lineage: Eukaryota; Fungi; Ascomycota; Dothideomycetes; Botryosphaeriales; Botryosphaeriaceae. The record is from RNAcentral.
UGCGAAUGGCUCAUUAAAUCAGUUAUCGUUUAUUUGAUAGUACCUUACUACUUGGAUAACCGUGGUAAUUCUAGAGCUAAUACAUGCUAAAAACCCCGACUUCGGGAGGGGUGUAUUUAUUAGAUAAAAAACCAAUGCCCUUUCGGGGCUCCUUGGUGAAUCAUGAUAACUUAACGAAUCGCAUGGCCUUGCGCCGGCGAUGGUUCAUUCAAAUUUCUGCCCUAUCAACUUUCGAUGGUAGGAUAGUGGCCUACCAUGGUAUCAACGGGUAACGGGGAAUUAGGGUUCUAUUCCGGAGAGGGAGCCUGAGAAACGGCUACCACAUCCAAGGAAGGCAGCAGGCGCGCAAAUUACCCAAUCCCGACACGGGGAGGUAGUGACAAUAAAUACUGAUACAGGGCUCUUUUGGGUCUUGUAAUUGGAAUGAGUACAAUUUAAAUACCUUAACGAGGAACAAUUGGAGGGCAAGUCUGGUGCCAGCAGCCGCGGUAAUUCCAGCUCCAAUAGCGUAUAUUAAAGUUGUUGCAGUUAAAAAGCUCGUAGUUGAACCUUGGGCCUGGCUGGCCGGUCUGCCUCACCGCAUGUACUGGUUCGGCCGGGCCUUUCCUCCUGGGGAUCCGCAUGCCCUUCACUGGGUGUGUUGGGGAACCAGGACUUUUACUUUGAAAAAAUUAGAGUGUUCAAAGCAGGCCUUUGCUCGGAUACAUUAGCAUGGAAUAAUAGAAUAGGACGUGCGGUCCUAUUUUGUUGGUUUCUAGGACCGCCGUAAUGAUUAAUAGGGAUAGUCGGGGGCAUCAGUAUUCAGUUGUCAGAGGUGAAAUUCUUGGAUUUACUGAAGACUAACUACUGCGAAAGCAUUUGCCAAGGAUGUUUUCAUUAAUCAGUGAACGAAAGUUAGGGGAUCGAAGACGAUCAGAUACCGUCGUAGUCUUAACCGUAAACUAUGCCGACUAGGGAUCGGGCGAUGUUAUUCUUUUGACUCGCUCGGCACCUUACGAGAAAUCAAAGU